This 274-nucleotide ribosomal RNA is filed under the name uncultured bacterium. RNAcentral describes it as "partial 16S ribosomal RNA". It matches the Rfam family "Bacterial small subunit ribosomal RNA", at positions 79 to 353 of the family's 1533-position model. The record is from RNAcentral.
CUAAGUUUGAUGGCGACCGGCGCACGGGUGAGUAACACGUAUCCAACCUGCCGAUGACUCGGGGAUAGCCUUUCGAAAGAAAGAUUAAUACCCGAUGGCAUAGUUCUUCCGCAUGGUAGAACUAUUAAAGAAUUUCGGUCAUCGAUGGGGAUGCGUUCAUUAGGUUGUUGGCGGGGUAACGGCCCACCAAGCCUUCGAUGGAUAGGGGUUCUGAGAGGAAGGUCCCCCACAUUGGAACUGAGACACGGUCCAAACUCCUACGGGAGGCAGCAUG